Molecule: non-coding RNA, 384 nt
Organism: Pelobates cultripes (western spadefoot toad)
Lineage: Eukaryota; Metazoa; Chordata; Amphibia; Anura; Pelobatidae
Source: the annotation of a GenBank genome assembly
UGGAAUUGUGUGUGUAUAAUAUAUAUAUAUAUAUUUUAUUAUUUUUUAAAAAAUUUUUUAAUUGGGGUAGCCCCCAAAAUAUUGGGACAUUUAAAAAAAAAAAGACAACUCUAUUGCGCAGAGUAGCUGUUGACAUUAUUGUUGCGCAGGCACUUUGUUGACUCUAGAGAACCUUCGGCCAAUCGCAAAUUCCCGUGGCGGCGACUUUGCAUGCAGAUGUCAUCCAUAUCAACAUUCGAUGCUAGUUUCUGCGCCUACCAUGGUGACCACGGGUAACGGGGAAUCAGGGUUCCAUUCCGUACAGGGACCCUGAGAAACAGCUACCACAUGCAAGGAAGACAGCAGCAGCGCAAAUGACCCACUCCCGACUUGGGAAGGUAGUGA